AGCGGCGGAUGGGUGAGUAACACGUGGGGAACCUGCCCCUAAGUCUGGGAUACCAUUUGGAAACAGGUGCUAAUACCGGAUAAUAAAGCAGAUCGCAUGAUCAGCUUUUGAAAGGCGGCGUAAGCUGUCGCUAAGGGAUGGCCCCGCGGUGCAUUAGCUAGUUGGUAAGGUAACGGCUUACCAAGGCGACGAUGCAUAGCCGAGUUGAGAGACUGAUCGGCCACAUUGGGACUGAGACACGGCCCAAACUCCUACGGGAGGCAGCAGUAGGGAAUCUUCCACAAUGGACGCAAGUCUGAUGGAGCAACGCCGCGUGAGUGAAGAAGGUUUUCGGAUCGUAAAGCUCUGUUGUUGGUGAAGAAGGAUAGAGGUAGUAACUGGCCUUUAUUUGACGGUGAUCAACCAGAAAGUCACGGCUAACUACGUGCCAGCAGCCGCGGUAAUACGUAGGUGGCAAGCGUUGUCCGGAUUUAUUGGGCGUAAAGCGAGCGCAGGCGGAAAAAUAAGUCUAAUGUGAAAGCCCUCGGCUUAACCGAGGAACUGCAUCGGAAACUGUUUUUCUUGAGUGCAGAAGAGGAGAGUGGAACUCCAUGUGUAGCGGUGGAAUGCGUAGAUAUAUGGAAGAACACCAGUGGCGAAAGGCGGCUCUCUGGUCUGCAACUGACGCUGAGGCUCGAAAGCAUGGGUAGCGAACAGGAUUAGAUACCCUGGUAGUCCAUGCCGUAAACGAUGAGUGCUAAGUGU
RNAcentral lists this ribosomal RNA (744 nucleotides) under uncultured bacterium. RNAcentral's name for it is "bacterial SSU rRNA". It matches the Rfam family "Bacterial small subunit ribosomal RNA", at positions 94 to 823 of the family's 1533-position model. The record is from RNAcentral.